Molecule: transfer RNA, 74 nt
Filed under: Cobetia sp. UCD-24C
Lineage: Bacteria; Pseudomonadati; Pseudomonadota; Gammaproteobacteria; Oceanospirillales; Halomonadaceae
Rfam family: tRNA
About the family: Transfer RNA (tRNA) molecules are approximately 80 nucleotides in length. Their secondary structure includes four short double-helical elements and three loops (D, anti-codon, and T loops).
Source: Rfam by way of RNAcentral
UGCGGGAUGGAGCAGUCUGGUAGCUCGUCGGGCUCAUAACCCGAAGGUCAUCGGUUCAAAUCCGGUUCCCGCUA